CGAACGCUGGCGGCAGGCUUAACACAUGCAAGUCGAGCGAAGACUUCGGUCUUAGCGGCGGACGGGUGAGUAACGCGUGGGAACGUGCCUUUCUGUACGGAACAGUCCCGGGAAACUGGGUUUAAUACCGUAUACGCCCCUUGGGGGAAAGAUUUAUCGCAGAGAGAUCGGCCCGCGUUGGAUUAGGUAGUUGGUGAGGUAACGGCUCACCAAGCCGACGAUCCAUAGCUGGUUUGAGAGGAUGAUCAGCCACACUGGGACUGAGACACGGCCCAGACUCCUACGGGAGGCAGCAGUGGGGAAUCUUGGACAAUGGGGGAAACCCUGAUCCAGCCAUGCCGCGUGAGUGAUGAAGGUCUUAGGAUCGUAAAACUCUUUCGCUGGGGAAGAUAAUGACGGUACCCAGUAAAGAAACCCCGGCUAACUCC
This 428-nucleotide ribosomal RNA is filed under the name uncultured bacterium. RNAcentral's name for it is "bacterial SSU rRNA". It matches the Rfam family "Bacterial small subunit ribosomal RNA", at positions 30 to 504 of the family's 1533-position model. The record is from RNAcentral.